AGUGAACGCUGGCGGUAGGCCUAACACAUGCAAGUCGAACGGCAGCACAGUAAGAGCUUGCUCUUACGGGUGGCGAGUGGCGGACGGGUGAGGAAUACAUCGGAAUCUACUUUUUCGUGGGGGAUAACGUAGGGAAACUUACGCUAAUACCGCAUACGACCUACGGGUGAAAGCAGGGGAUCUUCGGACCUUGCGCGAUUGAAUGAGCCGACGUCGGAUUAGCUAGUUGGCGGGGUAAAGGCCCACCAAGGCGACGAUCCGUAGCUGGUCUGAGAGGAUGAUCAGCCACACUGGAACUGAGACACGGUCCGGACUCCUACGGGAGGCAGCAGUGGGGAAUAUUGGACAAUGGGCGCAAGCCUGAUCCAGCCAUACCGCGUGGGUGAAGAAGGCCUUCGGGUUGUAAAGCCCUUUUGUUGGGAAAGAAAAGCAGCAGGUUAAUACCCCGCUGUUCUGACGGUACCCAAAGAAUAAGCACCGGCUAACUUCGUG
This 492-nucleotide ribosomal RNA is filed under the name uncultured bacterium. Its description in RNAcentral is "partial 16S ribosomal RNA". It matches the Rfam family "Bacterial small subunit ribosomal RNA", at positions 29 to 507 of the family's 1533-position model. The record is from RNAcentral.